RNAcentral lists this ribosomal RNA (459 nucleotides) under uncultured bacterium. RNAcentral's name for it is "partial 16S ribosomal RNA". It matches the Rfam family "Bacterial small subunit ribosomal RNA", at positions 338 to 795 of the family's 1533-position model. The record is from RNAcentral.
CCUACGGGUGGCUGCAGUGAGGAAUAUUGGUCAAUGGGCGCGAGCCUGAACCAGCCAAGUCGCGUGAGGGAAGACGGUCCUAUGGAUUGUAAACCUCUUUUGUCGGGGAGCAAAAGACGCCACGCGUGGCUUUCCGAGAGUACCCUAAGAACAAGCAUCGGCUAACUCCGUGCCAGCAGCCGCGGUAGUACGGGGGAUGCGAGCGUUAUCCGGAUUGAUUGGGUUAAAAGGGUGAGCAGGCGGAAGAUCAAGUCAGCGGUAAAAUUGAGAGGCUCAACCUCUUCGAGCCGUUGAAACUGGUUUGCUUGAGUGAGUGAGAAGUAUGCGGAAUGCGUGGUGUAGCGGUGAAAUGCAUAGAUAUCACGCAGAACUCCGAUUGCGAAGGCAGCAUACCGGAGCUCAACUGACGCUCAUGCACGAAAGUGUGGGUAUCGAACAGGAUUAGAUACCCCAGUAGUC